AUCCAAUUUACAAAUUGUCAGAAAACCUCCAAAAAUUGCAUUGAUGUCACUCAACUGCCAACUUGAAAAAUGAAGCAAAAAUCCUAGCAGUGAUUUCUCCCUUUCCAAUCAUUAACUUUGACUCAAAAUUGGUGUGUAGCUUGAUCUUCAAGUCCUUCAAUACCAUGCCAAAUUUCAUCUUGAUUCAAUUAAUACAUCUCUAAAUAUCAUAGAAAUCCUACCCA
This 224-nucleotide long non-coding RNA is filed under the name Physcomitrium patens. Its description in RNAcentral is "long non-coding RNA (PPAT_LNC003218)". The record is from RNAcentral. Lineage: Eukaryota; Viridiplantae; Streptophyta; Bryopsida; Funariales; Funariaceae.